CUGCCGCUCGUUCUGAGGGGAUGGCGGGGGAACGAGGACGGACGCUGAAGUAGCGGAGAAAGUUGUUUUUUGGGGGGGGUUGUUCCCGAGCGUGCCCCGGAAGGGAGAAAACACGUUGCCCGUUGCUUUUCUGGACCAAGUGUUUGGAGUUAAGCGCUGAUUUCCCAGCCGUAUUGAAGAGAUGUAGAUGUGGGGGCCUUAAGGGGCUGGUAAAGCAACGAGGACGUGGUCAUUCCUUGUGGUCACUUAGCGGUGAACUAGGCGGGGGUGGACGUGGAAUGAGACCAGAACCCAGAAGCUAAAGAUUCUGUGGGGACAGCCGCGUUUCUAGACAAGACGGAAGAAAGGCAGGGCAAGCUCUCUGGCCGGCCUUCUCCCAGGAGAAUGAUAGCUCGCUCGCUCUCUCUCCUUCCCCCUCUCUCUCCUUCCCCCUCUCUCCCUCUCCACCCCCCCACCCCCCUUUGCCUGUCUGCCUUCUCUCCCUGCCUUCCUCUCUCUCUCCACCCCUCUUUCUGAUUAAUCUUGCAGUCCAUGCCAUCAUUGGAUUUCUGCUCUGUGAAACAACUCUUUGGCUUCCACUAUGGACUUUCUGGUCCUGAGCACCAACCCCUUUGGAAGUUUACAGCUCUAUUCAGCACAUGACUGUGGGAGUCUUCUGCUGCAGAUGAUAUUUUGAGAAGCACGCCAUCUGGGAAUAGCAGUUUUUGAAGUAGAUACUUUCCCAGAGUUUUUGUGGUGUGCCUUUCCAAAGUAGUUGAAAAUAAUAAAUGGGUAAAUGUAUAUUUCUUAGCUAAUUGUCAGAUUGUACUCUUUUAAUUAGCCAUAAUGGUGUGCAUUUUUUCAUAACUACAGCUGUGUGUGAUUUUUUUCAUUAUUAUUUGAAAGGAUUUUUUUAAAAAAUUUAUUUAUUCAUUUGAGAGGUAGAGUUACAGAGUGAGAGAGAAAUCUAUUUUCCAUCCACUAAUUCACGCCCCAGAUGUCCACAACUGCUGAGACCGGCCAAGCUGAUGCCAAGAGCUUCAUCUGGGUCUCCAACAUGCGUGCAGGGAUCCACUGAAGUGGGCCAUCUUCUACUGUCUUCCCAGGCCAUUAGCAGAGAGCUGGAUUGGAAGAGAAGCAGCCAGACUCCAGCUGGCACCCUUAUGAGAUGCUAGCUCUGUAGGAACCGCCUAUGCCACAGAGGUGACCCCCUUGCAAGGCUUCAAGUCACGGAUUUCAAACAUUUUUGAGCUCAAAGACCUUUCUAAAAGUAUGAUGAAACUGAUGAGCCUCCCCUGAGGGUAUGGAGAUGUAAGAUGUUUAAAACACAAAACGGAGAGAAGGAAUGUGGCCCACCAGAGACACAUGGCAAGGUCUGGAGAAAUCUUCAGUUGUCAUCCAAAUCUGGGAGGUGCUCCUGGCAUGUAGUGGGUAAAGGCCUGGAACCUACAAAAUAUAACAUACAGGACAGACCCUGAAAUUACCCAGCCUGAGAUGUCAGCAGUGCUGAGGGUUGAGAAACCUGUUUCAUUGAGAUGUCAGGUGGUUCUCUGUUCCCCUGAGUCUCAUGCAUGAAUCCCAGGUUCAGAAUCCCUAAUUUCAGCAUCUGGGCUUUUAUUUUUCUUUAAGUUAAAUGGCUGUAAUAGUUCUUGUACAAAUCAGCAGUGACCCAACACAAAGAUGGCAGACUAAUGAUUGCUCUGUCUUCCAGUGUGUGCCACACCCUUGGUUAUUACACAGAGCUUUCACAGCUACCUCAUGUGGAGACAGGAGAUACGAUUGUAUAAAGACAAAAUAAUAAUAGGGAGAUUCAGACUCACCCCCACACAAUCUGCUGGGGGAAUUGGUCUAGGACACUUUCUCAGGCUGGGAGGUGCUCUGAGCACUUCAGAGGUAUGGCUGGGGAGACAUGAGUGGUAAUCAGCCUUACCACGACUGAGUCUUAGCCUUGUAUUAGCCAGUACUCCAAGGUUUAUUAAUACAAUGAUUUUUCUAGUCCUCAAGAAAGAAAAGAAAAGCUAUGAUGGAACAAUUAUUAUUUUAUGGAGAGGUUAAGUGAUGUGUUCAAAAACUUACAGCUAAAAAGCAAACUUUUAAAAAACAUUGUUAUUUGCAUAGUGUUAAAGUAAAUGCUACCAAAGAGAUGCUGCCUAAGAUAAAAAAAAAUAAGAGAUAAAGAGUCCAAAUAUUUAAAAUUCUAUCAGGAUGCAAUAUCAAUUAUUUGUAAAAGCAUAGUGUGUUAUAUACUGGGGCUCACAAUUCUCAUUGAAGUGAAGUAAUUUAGGUAAAUGAUCUUUCUGAGCCUACAUUAUCUCAUUUGAAAAAAGAGGUUAGAAUAGAUCAUUCCCGAAAAUCUUUUAGACUAUGAGUUCCACCAGCAGGAUUAUACAGGAAGGCUUAUAUUUGAGAAGGAGUUUAGGGAUCAUCUAGUCUUGGUCAAGUUCAUGAUUUUACAGAUGAACAACUGGAAGGUUAGCAUCUUUCCAGUGUCUUUUUGUUUUGUUUUGUUUUUUGUUUGUUUGUUUGUUUGUUUUUGGCAGGUAGAGUUAUAGACAGUGAGAGAGAGACAGAGUCUUCCUUCCAUUGGUUCACCCCCUAAAUGGCUGCCACGGCCGGAACUACACGGAUCCGAAGCCAGGAGCCAGGUACUUCUUCCUGGUCUCCCAUGAGGGUGCAGGAGCCCAAGCACUCGGGCCAUCCUCCACUGCCUUCCCGGGCCACAGCAGAGAGCUGGACUGGAAGAAGAGCAACAAGGUCUGGAACCAGUGCCCAUAUGAGAUGCUGGCGCCGCAGGCAGAGGAUUAGCCAAGUGAGCUAUGGCGCCGGCCCCAUCUUUCCAGUGUCUUAACCUAAGCUGAGCCUAGAAUCUAUGGAUCUUGAUUUCUUCUCUCAUUCUACUAUGUAAUUAUCUCCUCAAAUUAUAGAAUCUUCCAAAUUGCCCUUUGAUUUCCUGUAAGUAUAUUUUAUAAGCAAAAUGCAUCAUAAUGUCUUUGAAACCUUUGCAUUAAAUUUGCUUCUUCAAAGGAUCUUUAAAUUACUUCAUAGCCAUAAGUUCCCACAUAGCACAUGCUGCUUAUACCCUUCAUUCCAGGUUUGGCUUCCCAGUAUGUUUACAUAGUAGUCCCAUUGCAUCACAAGAUGAGAUCAUGAAAUUAAAAGUAUGUGGAAAGCUAUAAGGCAUUUAUGAAACACUCUUGGUGGACUACCCAAUAUUAAUUCCCAUCCCUCUAACCCCUGUUCACGAGACACUCUUCUUGCCUUCCUUAAAGCUAAUAGUGACCUCUUCUUAUUCUAGCCAAUGAAUCUGCUAAGAAAGCCUCUGAGGAAAACCAUUCUCUGAUAAAGAGGCAUGAGAGAACAAUUCCAUUACCAUCCUGGCUGUCUUUGGAUACUUUCUUGAAAGAUAUCAGGUGCUGGUGCUGUGGCACAGUGGGUAAAGCCAUCACCGGCAGUGCUGGCACACCAUAUGGGUGCCAGUUAGAGUCCCAGCUGCUCUAUUUCUGAUCCAGCUCUCUUCUAUGGCCUGGGAAAACAGUGGAAGAUGGCCCAAGUCCUUGAGCCCCUGCACCUGCGUGCGAGACCUGAAAGAAGCUCCUGGUUCCUGACUUCAGAUAGGCCCAACUCCAGCCGUUGUGGCCAUUUGGGGGAGAGAACCAUCAAAUGAAAGACACCUCUCUCUCUCUCUGUCUCUACCUCUCUCUGUAAUUCUGUCUUUCAAAUAAGUAAAAAUAAAUCUUUAAAAAAAAAAAUCUUGACUUUGAACUGUUCAGAGAUAGAGAUGCUCAGCAUUAUAAAAUGUCCUUGUGCAAAAAGGAUUCACUUAAAUGCAGACCAAAAAGAGAGAAAUGCAUGAAGAACAAUGAAAGAGAAUAAGGGGAUAACAGAAGACUCUAAAUAGGGACAAGAAAGUAUUUCUGACUACGGAGCUCAUCAGUUCUUUUUUUUUAAUCCUCAUGAUAGCAUAUCUUAAUUUUAUUAUUUCCUUUUUCAAAUUUUAUUUAAGUUAUACAAGUUUCAUGUAUUUCAUACAUACGGAUUUAGGAACAUAGUUUUACUUCCCUCCCACCCACCCAUGCUCCAGCCCUUCUUCCUCCUCCCUCUCCCAUUCCCACUCUUAAGUUUUACAGAGAUCUAGUUUCAGUUUACUUAAUGAUCAUAAGGUUAACCCUACACUAAGUAAAAGAGUUCAACAAAUAGCAUGAAGGAAAAAAACACUGUUCCUCAACAGAAGAGACGAGGGCUGUCGUCAGUUCUUUAUCAAUCAAUGAAUACAAGGGUGCUUCAAACAGUUCAUGGGAAAUGGAGUUAAAAUAUGUUUAUUGGGUUAGAAAAUGUAAAAUGCCUACAGGGGAUCUUCAGAAAGUUCAUGGAACAUGUGUAUUAUGGAAAAAGAAGCAUGCAUAGAUUUUUUUAAUUUGCAACAUAAUGGACAUCUUUUAAUUCUAUUUUCCCAUGAAAUUUUGAAGUACCCUUGUACAUCAUUUGUUCCUCCACAUAUACUGUGAGAUAACUCAAAAAAUGUUCCACAGACUGAAAAACUAGAGCCAUAGUUUUCAGAGCAGAGGCGCUGAGUCAGGCUUCGAUACUGUGAGGUUAUGGGAAAUUCUUCCUUUGUGCUACUUCCUUCUUUGCUUCCUUCCUUCCUAACUUACACUUUCCCUUCAGAUCCCCUUCUCCCUUCUAACUUCAGCAGGGUUUGCGGUUUGCGGUGAUGUUUUGUUGCAGUGUAUCCACCUUACACAAAGGAAAAAAAACCUCAGGGGACAAGUGACCUCUAGAUUUCCUGGUCUCCCUUUCAAAUAAGUAUUACUUUUAGAAUGCUAAUUCUCCUGUUUGUAUACCAAUGUGUACGAUAGCUAUUCAACAGUGCAGUACUUUGGAAUUGCCUGUUUCAUGUAUUUGAUAGAUUUAAGACACUAUCCACACCCACCCUGUAAAGGUUAUCUUUGUCUAGUUUUGUACAGUUUCUAAACAUAGUGAUUUGUAUAACUGUAUUCCCCAGGAACUCUCACAGAAAUAAGGUUACUGUAGUCUAUGACCUACUCCCAGUGGUACUGUCUGAAUUAUUUAUUUAAAGUUUGUGAAUUACUUUGGAAACAUAAAAUGUCAUAUAAUUUCUGUAUAUUAUUCUUUUAUGAAUUAAAAUAGCAUACACAUUUUAAAUCAAUAACUUAUUCAUAAGAAGAAAAAGUGUGAGGUGUUAAAUCACAUUUAACAUAGCAAAUACUUCACAUUAGACCAUCAAAGUGGAAAAUGACCAUAAUACAUCAUUCACUUAUAUACAUAUAUAUUUGCUACAUAACUCAGUAUGCAUUUAAAGGCAGUACAUAAUUAUAUUUAAUAUUGAAUCAGUGUCAUGCUUGUGCUACUUUUAAACUAUUUUUCUUUCAGUAUUAAUAUCAUCUCAGCCUUAUUUUAACAUUACAACUUUGUUUUUGUUUUGCACAUUUGCAUAGUACAUAGAUAGAUGAGUAUUAUGAGGAAUACAGAAAGAGAUAAGACCAUGGUGUUGAUGAUAAUAUUGGCCCCCAGUCAGUUCUAACUUCUGAAAGAUUCCACAAAGCUGUGUUUCCAUAGUAUUUUUUUUAAAGAUUUAUUUACUUAUUUGAAAGUCAGAAUUACACAGAGGAGAGGCACAGAGAGAGAGAGGUCUUUCAUCUGCUGGUUCACUUCCCAAUUGGCUGCAAUAGCUGGAGCUGGGCCUAUCUGAAGUCAGGAAACAGGAGCUUCUUCCAGGUCUCCCACGCAGGUGCAGGGGGCCCAAGGACUUGGGCCAUCUUCCACUGUUUUCCCAGGCCAUAGCAGAGUGCUGGAUGGGAAGUGGAGCAGCCGGGACUUGAACUGGCACCCAUAUGGUGUGCCAGCACUGCAGGCGGCAGCUUUACCCGCUAUGUCACAUCGCCGGCCACCUCAUAGUAUUUUAAAAUAUUAAAUCUUCCUGUCAUCAAAAUAAGAAGCAUUUCAAGGAUCAAAUUUACCAAAAAACAACAGAAGAGAGUCAGAAAAAGAAAAUAAUUAAUUUGGGAUUCUAAUAAUAAUCAGGGUUUAACAAACACUGUUUCCUGAAUUAAAUAAUCACAUUACAGUGAAAUGGUACCUCUGUAGUUUUCAUCAGGAGGCCUUUUCCUCAACACAUCCACACCUGACUUAUCUCACUCCUCUGAGCACCUAGGGCAGCUGGAGAAUUGGGGAGACGGCCUCCCACACACCCAGUGUGCUCAGUUCACCCUGCUCUUCUUUCUGGGUGAGACUCCUGUAGUUCCUUUCUACAACCCUGGAAUGCCUGCCCUCCCCACACUGCAGAGACCAACACAAGUGGACACAUCUGCUCAGCUCCGGGAUUCAGUGCUGACGCUCCCUUGUCCCCUCAAUAAGCUAUAUCCCCUGGUUGAGCUGUUAACAAGUGAGAAACAUAACCAAUGUUAUGUUUGCAACCUAACAGUUAUUUUGCAAUGCAAAUACGGAGGAGGAGUACUCUUUAUUGGACCCCUUCUGCAAACCCACUGUGAAGACCCCAAGGUGAAUGUUAGCACAUUCGUUUCAGUGUUAGUUAGCUGUUGUGUGACCAAUAUGCCUGCAACACUGGGGCUAUACUAAUGGGAUCAGAGAGAAAAGGGGGAAACUAAUUUUCAGCAAUUAGCAUUGGCUUGAACAUCCAGAGAGUGUAUCUUAAUGUUUCAGGUGAUGGAUAUACCAGUUAUUUCAUUGUAAUCCUUCCAUGUUGUUUAAAUGUACUGGAAAUCACACUCUACUCCAUAAGCAUGUACAAUUAUUAAAUGUCCGUCAACAAUAAAUACAAGAUUUUUAAAGAAGAAUGCAACUUAAAGGGUAUACUUGGUUGACCUGCCAACUAGCGUGAAUCAGCAGAUGAAGAGAGAAAGCUAUGUUAACUAGUUAGAUUUUUGAAAGAGCAGUGUGUCUGAACUUGGGCAAGAUGACAAGAGGCAGAAGAUAGCCUGAAUGAAAACAGAAUUAAUGGCUUAUACAGUAUCAGCCAUGCCAGCAGGUAGACUAGGGUGGAGGAGGAAGGAGAGAGAGACAGAGACAGAGGCCAAGGGAGAGGAAGACAGAGGCAGGAGGACAGAGAGGCCUAAAACAUCAUGUGAUAAACUGACAUGUUGAAGCUGGACAAGUCCCAGAAGCCCAGUUUUGACAGGACUUUCUCCAACCCAUCCCUGCAGCAGCUCAAAAAACCAAUGCAGUGAGGCCCCUACCUUGCUGCAUAUUCCUUGGAGAAACCCUUCUGAAUGAGCUGUGGGCCCCACACUAGCAUUCAAACCUCAGGUGAGGGGAGACUUUUUUACCUCCCAAAUAGGAACACACCAGGUGGCAGUUUCCCUCAAGUCUUAGAGGGUGGUAAGGGAGGGGUAUAGCAUUUUAGCACUUCCUGACAAUCCACCCAAGUGGAAUUCUGGGCCUCCUGAUGGGACAGCCCCCUGCCAAGGGGAGUCUCACAGGGGCUGCUCUGUGCUUGGGAAUCUCUUCCUGCUGUCAUCUUGCACAGCCAGGAAGUCUCUCUUCCUAGGUCCUCUUUCAAUUGCACUUCCUGCACCAGGAACUUCUGAGCCCCUUAGCACCUCUCUAAGGAGGCCCCUGGUAACCCAAGUCUGUGUUGUUUGAGCAUUUCAGUGUCUGUUUUAUCUCACUCUCACUCAACCUUCGGGGGGGGGGGGCGGGGGAUCGAUUAAAGAGAAAGUUCUCUUGCUAAAAGGACUUGGAUUGGAGCCUUUUUCAAGAAUUAACUAAUUUAAACAUCAGUCUUCUUAGAAACAUAGCAUAAAUUUACUUACCAUCAAUUCCUAUACCAUUUUCCAAGUUGUUCUUUAAAACAACAACUUUUCAUCUAGUUGGAAUGAAUUCUGUAUUGUCACAGAGAUACACUUUGACCCAAAAUAUUAAGAGAAAGCUCUCAUAAUUACUCAUUUAAAAAAGAACACGUGUAAGUCACUGUCACACUGCCUUCAGACAAGUCUGCCUUUUCCAAAAGGAGUGCGAACCAGCCCCUGACAACCGUCAUUGGAACACACCGUGUUUAUUGGUGGAAAGAACAUGACUCAAACACCUGAGUCCAAAUGCAGAGUCUGGAUCUUGAACAUACUAAUGCUGACCCAGAUACCACUUCUGUUGUAACCAGUUGACACUAAGCAAUGUCUUUACCUAUCUAAAUUAUUUACCACAUAACCGACCAUUUGCCUGAGGUGACAAGAAUCAAUACCUCAUUCAUAUCAGUAAGUGUUGGCGCUUGAGUUAAUAACAGUGUGCGCAUUACAAUGUGAUUUUCAAGAAUGCUGAGUAUCCAUUUCCUUGUAUCAGAAGCCGCCUAGUGGUAGAAAGGCAGCAAAAAAGAGGACUGGAUCUUCAUUAAUUUUUCUUCCAGGUAUAAGAGUAUCUGUUAGAAUGCAACUCAACUUUGACUUUUCUAUCAAUAAUUGGCAUUCCAAAUGCCUUUGUUCUUAACACAUUAACACGGGCACAGGUUUCGUUUAAUAUAGGUAACUGAUGAGAGUAGUGAGCCAGGGGAAGCCCACAUUAUAUCUUUGCUAUAAAUUCCUUGUCUUUUAAUUACAUUAUUAGUCUUUUGUUUUUCACCUGUGUCCUCUAAUUUCUUUCAUGUCAUGAUGCUGAUGAUCAGAAAUGAUGAACAAUUUACUUACUAUUAAAUUUUAAAUCUUUGCUUAUCACCUGCCUUUGUUCCAAAAACCAUCAAAGCCCUAAAUAAACCAGGCUAUAUCUUAGAAAACAAACAUUUAUGGUGUAGUGAAAAGAGGAAAAAAACCAAUUUCCUUGAUUCAAAGAAGUGUAUGAGUCUGCUUAAAAAGAACAGAGAAUAGAUGGCCCCAACUUGAAUUUUUGCUGGAAAGAAGCAAGAAAGAGAAAGGCACAAAAAGCAAAAAGCAGCUCCACGUGAGAUCCAAAUACAGAGGCAGAUCAGGAACACCCAGUUCUGGGUCUCUUUGAGCUGACAAAUUGUGUUUGAUCUUGGACAAGAAGCCAUGUAGUAUAAGUGAUGUGAUCAUCAUGUUCUCUUCUGCAAAUAAAGUUUUGUGGUUGUCUUAGCUUUGUUAGAGCUGGUACAGCAAUAUAUCCUAAAUAGGAUGGCUCAUGAGUGACUGACAUUUAUUUCUCAGAGUUCUGGGGGCUGGGAUACCAAGAUCAAGAUGAUGCUGGCAUAUUCGGUGUCUGAUGAGCGCCAGCAUCCUGGUUCAUAAACAGCUUUCCUCUCUUGCUGUAUUGUCACAUGGAAGAAAGCGCAAAAGAACUCCUGGGUCUCUUUCUUUCCUUUCUCUCUCUCUCUCUCUUUUUUUUUUUUUUUUUUUUUUGACAGGCAGAGUGGACAGUGAGAGAGAGACAGAGAGAAAGGUCUUCCUUUGCCGAUGGUUCACCCUCCAAUGGCCGCUACGGCUGGCGCGCUGCGGCCGGUGCACCGCGCUGAUCCGAAGCCAGGAGCCAGGUGCUUCUCCUGGUCUCCCGUGGGGUGCAGGGCCCAAGCACUUGGGCCAUCCUCCACUGCCUUCCUGGGCCACAGCAGAGAGCUGGCCUGGAAGAGGGGCAACCGGGAAAGAAUCCGGUGUGCCGGCGCCGCAAGGUGGAGGAUUAGCCUAUUGAGCCACGGUGCUGGCCACCUGGGUCUCUUUCAUAAGGCCACAGUCUCAGUCAUGAGGGUAAUGCCCUCAUGAUGACCACCCCCAAAGGCCACACCUCCAAAUACCAUCCCAUCAGGCACUAGGUGUCAACUUAUGAAUUUUGUGGGAGGGAAGGCACGAUCUAUAGAAAUGAUUAUUUAAAGUUUGUGCGAUGAGACUGAAAAAUAAACAGCCACCAACAGUCACUCAGGUUGCUACCAAUAAAUUCCUUGCUGUAGUAUGUUAACUGCAACUAUCUGAUGCACCAUUUUGUCUAACAUUUUCUGCAUAUUCCUAUUCCUGCUUAGAUAAAAAUAACACCACUUUAACAUUUUUAAAGCCGUGAUAAUGAUUCUAUUACAAUAAUCAAUGUUGGGGAAUGAUAUCCCAAUCUGUUGCCAAGCUUCCCAAGGUAUUAAUCCAAACCAUAAGAUUUAAAUCAUAUACUUCCUUACUCAGUUUCUACAAAUUUUUUUUUCCUGCUAUCUUAGAAUUCAUUUAGUAAAAAAUAAUCCAACAUACUCAAAUGGGCAAGAUUAGUUUGCUAGGUGCACACCAAGGUCAAGACCUUAAACAAUAAAGCUAAAUAUAGUUCCUUUUUUUGUUUUAUUUAUCUUUUUUAAAAAAAGAUUUAUUUAUUUGAAAGGCAGAGUUACCAAGAGAGAGGUAGAGAAAAAGAGAGAGAGAGAGAUCUUCCACCCACUGGUUCACUUUCCAAAUGGCCGCAACGACCAAGGCUGGGCAAGGCCAAAACCAGGAGCCAGAAGCUUCUUGUGGGUCUCCCAGGAGAAUGCAGGUGCCCAAGUGCUUGGGCCAUCUUAUACUGUUUUCCCAGGUGCAUUAGCAGGUAUCUGGAAUAGGAAGUGGAGCAUCGGAACUCGAACCUGAGCCCAUAUGGGAUGCCAGCACUGCAGGUUUUAUUUUAAAAGGAGAAAAACUGUUUAAUCUAGAUGCUUGUCCACACUUUCUUGGAUUAAGUGCUGAUGUAUAAUAAAGGUAAGUAGAAAUGUAAUGGCAUAGUUGACUUGACAUUACCAACACAGGUUUGAUCUGAUUUGAUGUAGUAGGAGAAACACCCCUUCUGUGGGGAGGGGAGGUUGUGAUUUAGACCAGACAGGUUCUGGGCAUUUGGGCAUUGCCACUCACUGGGAUUUUUUGUUUGUUUGUUUGUAUUUUACCUCAGAUAAGUUACUUAGUCUGCAUCUAAACCCCAAUUUGCUAAUCUACAAAAUAGAGACAAUAGUAUCUGCCUAUAGUGUUGUUCUAAAGCCUGAAUGAGUUAAUAUAUGCACUUAAAACAGUGCCUGGCAUGUAGUAAUAUUAAAUGGUAGCCGUUACUGCAGUUUUAAGAUUUCUUUUCUGCUAUCUUAUAACCAUAUUAGUAAGAAUAAUUCAACACACUCAAGCAUACCAUGAAAGUCUGAUCUAUCUUUUCAUGGUGAAUUGUUACAUUAAAUUGAGUUUUCUUUUUAAAAAAUGAUUAUUCAGUGGUGGGCAUUUGGUACCUGUGCUUGGAUAUCUAUAUCCCAUAGUGGUGUGUCUGAGUUCAGUUUCUAGUUUUACUUCUGAUUUCAGCUUCCUGCUAAUGUACCUCCAGGGAGGCAGUAGGUGAUGCCACGAGUGCUUGGAUCCUUGCCACCUACAUGAAGACCAGGAUUAAAUUCCAGGCUCCUGGCUCAGCCCUGACUCUUGGCCAAGUCGAAAUCAUGGAAAUGGCACGGUGUUGGUUAUUCCGGCGAACUGAGCUAGAAGCUGCGGGCUGUUACCCAAGAGCGACAUCUGCCGAGGUCCCAGGAGUAAGGUUUGCCAUGUUAGGAAGCGUCGCCCUGGGGCGCUGAAGCAGCCGACGGGAGUCACCGCUAAGGCACGAACGGAUUAUUUUGUAAAGUGUAGGGUUUCCUUUUUUAUUUUUUUAUUUAAAGAGAGUGUCAGAGAUUUGAAAGCGUUUUAAGGAACUUUCUCUCAGUUAAAUGGCAACAGCCCAGUAAGGCAGGCAACUUGGGAAUGUUUCCAUUUAUGGCUGAGAAACAGAUUCAGAGAAGUUUUGUCCAGCUCCAAGUCAAGCAAAGGGUAAAAUCCAGCCACAGAACGCAAGGCUGCAUCUACAGGAUGCUCUCUACUCCCCACAGCAAGUUCCUCACCUCUCAGUUAUCACAGAAGCGAUUCUACCGGCAAUGAUUACCCCCAUAAUGUCAGACUGUUGGAUUUCAUGUGUCCGUUUUACCCUGGCCUCUCUAUAUAAAGACCAGUAUGGAAAAUAACAAGGAAUGCUAUAAGAAACAAAGUUUGAAACGGGAAAGACUGAGUCACAGUUUCAAUAUUUAUCUGAAGACUUCAUCAUGAAGUAACAACAUUCUUUCUGCCAAAGAAAAUCCCUCCCAUCCUUGAAGGCCCGGCUGCCCGGCUCAGAAUUACUCUGGGAGUCCUGGUGCCCUGGCGCCUGCCUGCCAGCUGGCCUGCACUCCUGCAACCCCUGUGCUUCUGUAGCACGUUUCACUGCUUCUUUGUUUUCUGUUUUGAGGUGGAGCUGGCACGAGCACUAGAAAUAUACAUUCAUAUUUUUACUACAUAUAAAAUGACUCUCCAUCUCUUUUUCCCAUAUAGCUUUUUUCUCUACUUAAAUUUAACCUUCAAACUUAUUGAAAAUGACUAUUGAAACACUCGGUGUGGUUGUGCAUGUUAAAUCACUUAAAAGUCUGACAUUCAAAUGUCUACAAAGACUAGAUAAGGAGUCUAAAUGAAUAAAGUAAGCUCAAGUACAGGCAAA
Oryctolagus cuniculus (rabbit) is the source of this 12369-nucleotide non-coding RNA. NCBI's taxonomy places the organism in Eukaryota, Metazoa, Chordata, Mammalia, Lagomorpha, Leporidae. The record is from RefSeq and is a predicted model, not a curated record.